This 7318-nucleotide long non-coding RNA is filed under the name Gossypium barbadense (sea-island cotton). Its description in RNAcentral is "long non-coding RNA (GBAR_LNC019952)". Lineage: Eukaryota; Viridiplantae; Streptophyta; Magnoliopsida; Malvales; Malvaceae. The record is from RNAcentral.
GCGUUUAUAAAUAUCGACACUGCACAAAGUCAAAAUCUUGGUUACAAUUGGGGGUAAAGGUAAAGUCAGAACAAAAUUUUAGGGGAUAAAUAAAAUUUUAAUUUUUUAUAGUUUAUAUCUUUAUAAGUUUUAAAAGAUCAAAUCAAAUUUUUAUAAUUUUAGGGGGGCUAAAGUGUAAUUUUACCUUUAAUAAUUUAAAAUUUUAAAAAAAUUUAAAGUCCUAAAUAGCAAUUUUACUUUUUAGAGGGGGUCGAGGCCCUGUCAACCCCCUUAAAUUCGCCUCUGAUUGGGGGCGCGAAACCUGUUAGGGCAAGAUAGAGAUGGCACUAAUAGAAAAAGAUCUAGCGGACUUGAGUCUUGAUGAGGAAGAAGAUGAUGGUGUGUAGUUUGAGGCGGGGGCUAAACCACAGAAACAGAUGUAUGACUUGUGUUUAGUCGGAUGUUAUCAGAUGUUGUCUUACAGCAAGUGUGGUUCACUUUCUGGCACUGAAAAACACAAUGGCCAAUUUAUGGCAUCCAUUGGGAGGAAUCUAGAUUUAUGACUUAGGAGAAAAACUUUAUUUAUUUAGAUUCUUCUAGAAGGUUGAUGUGGAGUGAGUGAUGAGUGGACCGCCUUGGAUUUUUAAUAACCAUCUUCUUCUACUUCAUAGGCUAAGAGUUUAGGAAGAUCUGAAUGUAAUUUCGUUGCUAUACUGUGAUUUCUAGGUGAAGGUACAUGAUCUUCCAACAGGAUAUUUUUUAGAUCAUGUGGCUCAACAAUUAGGGGAAUUUGUUGGAAAAUUUUUGGAACAUGAUACAAAAGAAUUUGACCAAGGUCUUAGAAAUUUUAUGCGUAUUAAGGUUCAAAUAGAUAUAAGAAAGCCGCUAAGAAGGAAGAAAAAAAAUCCUAACUCCCCAAUCAGAUCUAGUCUAUGUGAAAUUUCGGUAUGAAAAAUCGUCCCUACUUUGUUUUCUUUAUGAAUGUUUGGGGCAUGGAGAUAGAUUUUGUUGAAAAAUAAUUAACUUAGGGUUAAGAGAAGUGGAACGUGGAUAGGAUGAUUCGUCAAGGGCACAACCAAGAAGAGCUAGUAUUACACCUAGCAUGUGGUUAAGGGAGGAUAAUAUGGGAAGACAUUUCGGGAAAGUAGAUGGUAAGGAAGAGGUGCGUAAUAAUAAAAAAGGAUAAGUGAUUUUGAUAAAUGCCAAAAGUAACAUGUUUAGACUCAUUCUUAAUGUGUGUUUGGAUGAUUAUUCGAUUUAAAAUGGUGGAUUUUAUGCUCCUAAUCCUUUAAAUUCAUGCUUCUAUACUUAAGAGAGUAUUUGGGAGCAAAAGAAGCGAAAAACAAGUGAAAAUCGAAAAAUCAAAGUAAGUUUCAAGAGCCACACGGGCUAGGCCAUUCCACAUGGGCUAGACACAAGACUGUGUAAGCCACACGGGCUGCCACAUGACUAUGUGUCAAACCGUGUGGAUUUCACAAACUACAUUCCAAAUACGCAGAAAAACACAAUUUUUAGGUUUUUCGACCAUUCUAAGACUUAUAUAUACCAAAUAUAAGAAGGGAUCAAGUCAUCAUAGAAUAUUAGAGAAAAUAACUCGAAAAACAACAUUGAAGUCGACUCUAAAGCAUAUUUCUACCAAGAUUGAAGAUCUCUUUUUGAUUUCUUUGAAGCUUAUUAUGAGUUUCUCAAUUUCUUGCGGUUAUACUGUCUUUGAGAUGUUUUUAUUCGCAAUUAUGAACUAAUUUUCUAAAUACCUAAGGGAGAUGAACCCUAUGAUGAAUUAUGUCUUUUGAUUUCUAUUUUACGCAAUAAAUACUUAGAUCUUGUUCUCAAUUUUGUGUGCUUAAUUCUUAAUUUAAUAUUUCCAAACUAUUAAUCCAUGUUUGAUGUGCUUAAAUAGAGGAGGAAAAGUCUCUGUUUAAGAGUAGAUCUAGCAUAAUUGAGUGGAGUUGCAUGCAAUCCUAAAAAUAGGACAACAUAAAUCUACCAGAUUAAAGUCAAAUCUAAUAGAGGGAUCCAUAAAUCGAUUUAAUGCGAUAAUAGGGGUUUUAAUUAGAAAGAAAUUUCAAUUAAUGUUGUCCUAUUUCUAAGAUUGCUCUUAGUCUUGAAAAGAUAUUAGCAUACUUUUGAGAUUACGGAUCAAGAUACUAAGUGAAGAAAUUGUUUAAUUCAGAUUGAUAAUGACAGAUGAAGUUUAGGUGAAUUCUCUCUUAGAUAUUGUUUCACUUCUUGAUUGUUUUCUUGAUAUAUUCUUAAUUUUUUCUUUGUUGUAUUCUUUAGAUAAUUUAAUUAGUUAAUUUUAGUUUUAAUCAAUCACUCCAAUUUGUCGGUUAUAUAAUAGGAAAAUGGUAAUUACUAGUACUUUUAUUCUUCGUGGGAAUGAUAUCUAUGCUCAUAGUAGUUAUAUUAUUAAUUGAUAAGUACACUUGACUUUGUUGAAUUUUUAGUUGGUUUACGAUUGCAUCAGAUUUCAAUGUACAUCAUAAUAGGGGGUUUAUGAACUAGACCAUAGGGCUUAAUUUGGACGUUAAUUGGAGGCAAGAUAAUAGGAAAGGGGGAUAUGUCUAAGUAAAGGGGAAAAUAAGGAUAUGGAAGAAAAUAAUGAGACACAGCUAGAAAACAAUAAAGGGAAGAAGUGACAUAAGCCAGAUGGCCAAGUUCAAGCUAGAUUCACGUAUGAAGAGGAGAGUGUAAAAGGAGAACAAAGAGGAAUAACUUGCAUGAAACAGAUAUCGACAAUUGCCAAUAGGUAAACCGACUGGACGCAAUAAAAAUCCUAAGCCAGAAUUUUCGUAGAUUGGGGAGUCCACAAGGCGGUAGAAGACUUCAGCAUAUGCUGAGGCUGUAUAAUCCCCAGGUGGUCUUCUUUAUGGAGACUAAACUAGACAACUUUCGAAUGGAAAAAGUUAGACGACAUUGUGGGUUUCACUAUUACAUUGAUGUCUCGGUAACUAGAACUAAGGGUAGUCUAAUCCUUGGAUGGAAAAGUGAGGUAUUGGUUAACUUGAGGAGCUUCUCCAAUAAUCACAUUGAUGUUACUAUUGAGGAUAGUGAAGCUAGAUUAAAUUGGCAAUUAAUAGGAUUUUAGGGAGCACUAGAGGCUUGCAGAAGAAGUGAGGCUUGGGAUAUUUUCAGGACAUUAGGUCGUGAGUAAGUAAUGACAUGGCUGGUUUGUGGUGACUUUAAUGAUAUUUUUUUUCUUUUGAAAAAGAAAUGGGGAACGCCAUGAGAUGAAGGACAAAUGGAAUAGUUUAGGACAGUUUUGAAUGAUUGCCAAUUUGAGGAUGUGGGAUAUGUUGAUAGGUGGUUUACUUGGGAACGAGGGAACCUCCCCAAAACAAAUAUUAGGGAACGACUUGAUAGAAGGGUGGCCAAUAGGGAAUGGGUUAAUCUAUUUCCUAAAUAUACAAGUCGACAUUUGUCUCAUUCUUUUUUUGACCAUUGUCCUUUUUUCUUUCAAACUAAAACGGAGGGGAUUAGCGAAAGGAGGAAAGAAUUCAGAUUUGAGGUAUGGUGGACCAUAGAGAUAUCUUGCAAUGAAGAAGUUAAGAGGUUAUGGAUGACAGGUAGAUGUGAGGUCGUAAAGAAAUUAGAGGCAGUAGGAAAAGGUCUGUAUAGAUGCAUAAUGGGGAUUAAAAAACUUAGAUAGAGUUUAUUGAGGAAUUUACUUGCCUAUGUUGAGGAAUUAGAUGGAAUGAAGAAGACAGAUGAAAAUGUGCCAUAAUUGAUUGAUGCCAAAAUUCAUCUAAAUUUGGAAAUUGAAAAAGAGAAGAGAUAUUGGGGGCUAAGAGCAAGGAUGAAUUGGCUAAAAGAAUGAGAUAGAAAUCCAAAAUUCUUCCACAAUUAUGUGUCUCAAAGGUGAAGGGAAAAACGUGUUGAAAAACAAAAUGAUGAGAAAGGAAAAAUUACCUUGGAUAGGAGAGAGAUGGCAGAAGUGCCAAAAAGAUAUUUCAAAAACUUGUUCGCCUCAAGUGGAGUUAGCGAUUCUGAAUAUAUAUUAUCGCGAAUUAAUGUUCGCAUUUCAGAGGAUAUGAACAAAGAAUUGACGGAGGAAUUCACAAGGGAAGAAAUUGUUUCUACUAUUAAAAGUAUGGGGCCAACAAAAGCCCCCCGGAGCAAUGGGUUUCCGACAAUUUUCUUCCAACAAUAUUGGGAUAUUGUUGGGAAAGAGAUUGGCGAUUUCUAUCUUGAUAUUUUGAAUAAUGGCAGUUCGGUUGAUAAAGUUAAUUAGUUCUUUUACCCAAAGUAGCAAGCCCAACCAACCUCAAGAUUUUUUGACCUAUUAGCCUAUGCAUAGUAAUCUAUAAGAUUAUAUCAAAGCUAGAGGCUAAUCAGCUCCAAAAAGUAUUAGAUGUAUGCAUCGAUAAGGCCCAAAAUGCUUAAAAGUCAGGAAGACUUAUUACGGAUAAUGUCCUAUUAGCUUACGAGUUAAUGCAUACCUUCAAACAGAGAAAAGUGGGACAACAUGGAAGUCUAGCACUAAAACUAAACAUUAGUAAGGCAUACAUUAAAAUGGAAAGGUUUUUUCUGGAAAAAGUUUUAUAGAAGUUAAGGUUUGCGAGGCAUUUCGUGACAUUAAUCAUGCGUUGUGUAACAAUGAUAAGUUACUUGAUAUGUUUAAAUGGGGAUUUAGGCAGAAGGUUUAAAUAGAUGAGAGCGCUGAGACAAGGUGAUCCCCUAAGCCCCUAUUUAUUCUUAAUCAGUAGUGAGGGUUUAUCAUCACUAAUGCAGUUAGCUGCACAGAAAGGUACCAACAAAAGGGAAAAAGUGUGUCGUAAGAGUCCUACUAUCACACAUCUUCUUUUUGCGAAUGAUUGCAUUUUAUUUGAAAAUGCCACAAAAAGGAGAGCUCAUGACCUCAAGACCAUUUUACAGGAAUAUGAAGGUUGCUCUGGCUAGUUCAUUAAUUUUGAUAAGUCAAUGGCAUUUUUUAGUAUGAACGUUUCGGAGCAAAAGAGGGAGCAAAUUGCAAAUAUACUGGAAGUGCGAACCUCAAGAAAUUCAAAAAAAUAACUAAGGUUAUCAAAUAUGAUAGGGAGGGAUAAAAAAAGAACUUUCCAGCUCCUUAAGGAUAUGAUGUUAAGUAAAAUCAAAGGAUGGAGCACAAGAUUCUUGUAGAUUGGAGAUAGGGAGGUAUUUAUAAAAGCAGUAUUACAGGAAAUCCAUACAUACACUAUGACAGGUUUUUUAUUACCAAAAUCGCUUUAUGCAUAAUUGGAAAACAUUAUGGGGGGAUUUUGGUGGCAAACAGUCAUAAUAAACGUGGUAUUCAUUGGUGUAAGUGGAGAAAGCUUGGUGAGCUAAAAGAGGAUGGAGGGAUGGGAUUUAGAUGCUUAUCAAAAUUUAAUGUAGAGAUGUUAGCAAAACAAGGGUGGCAUUUAAUUUGCUAUCCGGAUUCGUUAUUAGAAAAAUCAUUAAAAGCCAAGUAUUAUCCCAAUUCAUGUUUCAUGCAAGCUAGAUUGGGGACCGUACCAUCUUAUACAUGGAGAAGUGUAUGGUUGACAAGAGGACUCCUUGAAAAAGGAAUAUGCUGGCAAAUUGGGUUAGGAAAGCAAGUCCAAAUUUGGGAUAAGGCGUGGAUCCCGGGCACUGAUGAAUACAAAUUAUAGCAUCCAAAUAUUAAUCAGCGUUUUUUACAUGUAUCAGACCUAAUAGAACAAAACACAAACCAAUGGAAGGAAGAGCUAAUAUGAGGUACCUUUCACACUGAAGAUGCCGAAAGGAUCCUAUGCAUUCCCCUUUCUUUGGAGCAAGAAAUGGACAGAAUGGUUUGGCGCGGUGAAACAUCAGGGGUGUAUACAAUGUGGAGUGGUUACAAAAAUUUAAUGCAAAUCGACAGCAAAAUAAACAUACAAGCAGACCAUAAUUAUUACAAACCAAUGUACAAAAAGCUAUGGACGAUAGACUUGCCCUCAAAAACAAAAAUUCUGGUAUGGAAAACCCUAAAUAAUUUUUGACCUACUUUUUCUAACCUAUCUCAGCGAAGACUAGGGAAUGUUGCAAAUUGCUCGAGAUGCGUCAACAGUCUCGAAACCACAGUUCAUGUGUUCAAGGGCUGCCCUUUUGCUGAUGUAGUGUGGUCCAGGCUGGGUAUCAAGUGGACCUUGGAAUAAGGCCAAUUAUAAUAUAAGGACUGGAUGAAGGUGCUGUUUGAAAAAGUAUCAAGCCAAUAGAUAAAAACAAUCGUGGGUACCAUUUGGGGUUUAUGGAUGGCUAGGAAUAAAUUGCUACAUGAGAAUAAGGUACAAAUAGAAGCAAGCUUGAUCCAGUUUAUCACAGAUUAUAUUCAGGAAAUAGAAGGGGUAAAAGAGAAACUACCUGUUAGCUCAGUAUUCAACGAAUAUUGGAAGCCCUCGAGAAUCACAAAUGUUAAAAUAAAUUUCGAUACUGCAUUUGAUAAGCAAAAUAAGAGAUCAUGCACUGGAGUCGUCAUUCGAGACACUACUAGUAAUGUUUUAAAAUCAAUAACCUACAAAAACGAGCACAUACCGAUAGCAUUUGCAGUUGAGGCACUCACAUGCGUCCAGGCGGUUAGAUUCAAGGCAAAAUUAGGAUUUCUUCCAGUUGAAGUUGAAAGCGACGCGUUAACUAUUUUUAAAAAAAAAGUACAAAGUCAGGAAAAUGACAGAUUCGAGAUAAGAGACUAUAUCUCAGAUGCAUAAAGAUUAAGAAGCAACUUUGUUACUUGUAGGUUUAAACUUGCAAGGAGACAAACAAACACAGUAGCUCAUAUCCUAGCAACAGAAGGGUUAAAGGAAAGGGGAAAUACUCAUCUGACUCCUGGCCUUUCCAGUGCAGUUGCUAGGACCGUCGCGGCUGACAAAAAUGGCGAAGUAGUAGGAAGCGGAGGGCUCAUGACAUAAAACCAUGAAACACGGAAGUAUUUUUGAAGGAAAGGCGACAUAGAUUUGAAAAGAGAAUGUUAGAUUCUUUGUUUUCUCAGAUUAAUAAUUAAGGAGAUAAAGGAAUGGUACCUCAUAGUCACUGGUGCUUAGAGAUCUAGCAACCUAAAAAGCGAGUUAAUUCGCCAUUGAAGAGGUACCUUUCAUCUGAUGCAUGUAGGAGGUGGUGGCCAUCCUUCGGAGCAUUGAAAAGACGAAAUGAGUGAAGAUGGUGAGAGAUGUGCAGAAAUGGGAACUGGCUGUGGGGUAGAGGUUUUAAGGUUUCUUCUUUUUUAGUUUGUUUUUAGGAUGUGGGCUAAUGUAGGCUUAGGUUUAGGAUGGGUUAGGAUUUUGGGCUUUAUUUUUUUUUGUAGGGUAUUCCCUUUUAAAUUUGAUGUUCUUCUUUUGGUUAAUUUACCUAAAUAAUUAAAAUAAAUAAAUACUGAAAUAGGUUGUCG